Molecule: transfer RNA, 84 nt
Filed under: Kytococcus sedentarius
Lineage: Bacteria; Bacillati; Actinomycetota; Actinomycetes; Micrococcales; Kytococcaceae
Description: tRNA-Arg(tct)
Source: RNAcentral
GCGCGCGGUGGUCGUCACUGGUCGCGGCCCGGCCUUCUGCGCCGGUGGCCAGCUCGACUGGAUCGUCGCCGAGCCGGACGCGCC